RNAcentral lists this ribosomal RNA (626 nucleotides) under Saccharothrix texasensis. RNAcentral describes it as "bacterial SSU rRNA". It matches the Rfam family "Bacterial small subunit ribosomal RNA", at positions 60 to 703 of the family's 1533-position model. Lineage: Bacteria; Bacillati; Actinomycetota; Actinomycetes; Pseudonocardiales; Pseudonocardiaceae. The record is from RNAcentral.
AGUCGAGCGGUAAGGCCCUUCGGGGUACACGAGCGGCGAACGGGUGAGUAACACGUGGGUAACCUGCCCUGUACUCUGGGAUAAGCCUGGGAAACUAGGUCUAAUACCGGAUAUGACUCCACUAGGCAUCUUGUGGGGUGGAAAGUUCCGGCGGUACAGGAUGGACCCGCGGCCUAUCAGCUUGUUGGUGGGGUAAUGGCCUACCAAGGCGACGACGGGUAGCCGGCCUGAGAGGGUGACCGGCCACACUGGGACUGAGACACGGCCCAGACUCCUACGGGAGGCAGCAGUGGGGAAUAUUGCACAAUGGGCGAAAGCCUGAUGCAGCGACGCCGCGUGAGGGAUGACGGCCUUCGGGUUGUAAACCUCUUUCAGCGGGGACGAAGGGCAACUGACGGUACCCGCAGAAGAAGCACCGGCUAACUACGUGCCAGCAGCCGCGGUAAUACGUAGGGUGCGAGCGUUGUCCGGAAUUAUUGGGCGUAAAGAGCUCGUAGGCGGUUUGUUGCGUCGGCUGUGAAAACUUCACGCUUAACGUGGAGCCUGCAGUCGAUACGGGCAGACUUGAGUUCGGCAGGGGAGACUGGAAUUCCUGGUGUAGCGGUGAAAUGCGCAGAUAUCAGGAG